AAUAUCCGAUCUACCCCUACUUUUUUUUUUCUUUCUAAAAUGCCCCUCGUAUGUUCCACCGUUAUUCCAAAAUACCCCCGCAGUUAUCCCCUAUUAGUUUAACUCGAGUUAAACAUGGGUUAAAUGUAUACCAGAGUUAAAACCUAAUUAAAAUACCUAUUUUGCCCCUACCUUAUUAAACUAUUUCCUUAAAUUAUCCUCUCUUUCUCUCCCAACUUAUCCUCUCUCUCUCUCUCUCAACUUGGGUCCCCAUCGCCCGCCGCCGCGAGCGCCAGCAGCUCACCACCACCGCCAACCUCGGCACCGGCUCCUCCGCCUCCACCUUCGUCCCCAAGAAGCCUCGCCUCA
This 348-nucleotide long non-coding RNA is filed under the name Ananas comosus (pineapple). RNAcentral describes it as "long non-coding RNA (ACOM_LNC034552)". Lineage: Eukaryota; Viridiplantae; Streptophyta; Magnoliopsida; Poales; Bromeliaceae. The record is from RNAcentral.